This 501-nucleotide ribosomal RNA is filed under the name uncultured bacterium. RNAcentral's name for it is "bacterial SSU rRNA". It matches the Rfam family "Bacterial small subunit ribosomal RNA", at positions 28 to 526 of the family's 1533-position model. The record is from RNAcentral.
GAUGAACGCUGGCGGCAUGCCUUACACAUGCAAGUCGAACGGUAACAGGUCUUCGGACGCUGACGAGUGGCGAACGGGUGAGUAAUACAUCGGAACGUGCCCAGUCGUGGGGGAUAACUACUCGAAAGAGUAGCUAAUACCGCAUACGAUCUGAGGAUGAAAGCGGGGGACCUUCGGGCCUCGCGCGAUUGGAGCGGCCGAUGGCAGAUUAGGUAGUUGGUGGGAUAAAAGCUUACCAAGCCGACGAUCUGUAGCUGGUCUGAGAGGACGACCAGCCACACUGGGACUGAGACACGGCCCAGACUCCUACGGGAGGCAGCAGUGGGGAAUUUUGGACAAUGGGCGAAAGCCCGAUCCAGCAAUGCCGCGUGCAGGAUGAAGGCCUUCGGGUUGUAAACUGCCUUUGUACGGAACGAAAAAGCUUCUCCUAAUACGAGAGGCCCAUGACGGUACCGUAAGAAUAAGCACCGGCUAACUACGUGCCAGCAGCCGCAGUAAUAC